GGGGUCGUAGCCUAGUGGUUAGAGCUUCGACUCACGACUGAAAGGCGGGGUUCGAUUCCCGAUCCCA
Molecule: non-coding RNA, 67 nt
Organism: Macrostomum lignano
Lineage: Eukaryota; Metazoa; Platyhelminthes; Macrostomidae
Source: Rfam